CACUAGAAUCAGAGCGCUCCAUCAACGGCCUCUUCCCUUUUGAGUGUUCGUUGCCGAAAUCAUAUGCAAGAUCAUUACCAGGCAAUCGGAGGACGAGAGAGAGCAGAAUCGAAGGAAGUUUCUUGACUCGUCUCGGUGAUGAAAAACAGAGAAGAGAGCAGGACGACGAACUCUUAUGUCACAUUGAGUUUUGUUCCGAUAACAGAGAGGGGAAGAACAAGGCAGUUGCUCUUGAUGAAGUGAUUGCUUGGGCAACAGAAAAGCAGUUCGUCUUGUCAUUGAGGCUGGUUGGAUUUUCGCAUCUGCUAGGAAUACUGGUAGAAGAAAGAAUUUGAUCAGCUGAAGAGGAGAAUGACAAAGUCUAAGAAAUAAUUUGGUCUGCUGAAGAGGAAAAGGUUUAAGGUAACAUGGCUGUGGAGUACAAAGAUGCUGAGAAAGCUGUGGUUGUAGCAAAAGCAAAGAAACCCACUUCUGAUGAUGUCCCACGGGGUUGAGGUGCCUCACACAGCCGCAGGAAGAGAGCAUAAAAUAACAAAUCUUCUUUAGAAUGCCUUCUUCUUCAAGGUUUUGAUUCUUGGCCUCUUGGAAGUGAAGCUCUCUAUAAAUUUGGUGGGUUUAUAUAAGCCAAAACAAAGUCUCUAUUGACACAGCUUGAGCUUUUUACAAACACAGAUGGCUUCCACCAGAGCAUGUUUCGCUGCUUGGAAGAUUGUCUUCUUUGCUUUACUUCUCCUUGCCUUCAACGUUUCUGCAAGAACUCUUGUUGGAACUAAUGUAGUGGCUAGUAUAGCUGGUGAAAGGGCAGCGGAUGCAAAUGAUGGGAAGGGCACGAUGAGAUUAUUUAAUCAAGUGUUGGAUAGCGCUUGGAAGGGACACUAUAAUCCUCCCAACAAGUUCAACCACCAACCUUGAAUGUUUGUUUAUGUUCAUUCCAACAUAAUUGAAUUAUUCAAAUUUUGAUGGGAAGACAUCCAGGAGACCUCAUUCUAUGAUUGCACUCUUAACCUAAUUUAGUAAUCAGCCACUUGUUGAUAACGAUUCCAGCAAUUUCGUGCUCACACAAAGAUCCUCCAAGAGCAACCAAUAUGCGAAAUACAUGCCAAUGCCGGAAAAUUCAAGUAGCAAGUAGUUAGUAUAUUACAGACUGCAAAGCCAUGUUAAAUCAAAUAACGUGUAGACUUAAACAUUUAAAUUUUCGGUCUGUAAUCGUUAUUGAAUUAUAUACUAAAUAUUGAGGUGCUAUCAUCUCAACAAACUCAGACGAUUAUAGAAAUAUUCCACCUUCCAUUUGUAUAUUUGGUUACCUUUAGUUGGUAAGCUAUCUCUGUCACUUUGGUCAUGUGAGCUGCCUAGGUUGU
Cucurbita maxima (winter squash) is the source of this 1358-nucleotide long non-coding RNA. RefSeq lists it as uncharacterized. The record is from RefSeq and is a predicted model, not a curated record. The transcript has 6 exons. NCBI's taxonomy places the organism in Eukaryota, Viridiplantae, Streptophyta, Magnoliopsida, Cucurbitales, Cucurbitaceae.